RNAcentral lists this long non-coding RNA (250 nucleotides) under Vigna radiata. RNAcentral describes it as "long non-coding RNA (VRAD_LNC000556)". Lineage: Eukaryota; Viridiplantae; Streptophyta; Magnoliopsida; Fabales; Fabaceae. The record is from RNAcentral.
GCGCAUCAGAGGCAGCUGAUGGUUGCAAAGUAGGACAAGCNUNUGUGUAGUGAUCACGAGAAGUACAAACAGCACAUAGUCGUGCAANAGAUGUGGAUGAAGCUGUAGGUUUCUGGCUGGUUGCCAACUCUGUCACUAACUUCGCAAGGGAUUCAAUCUUGUUGUCCAACUUGCUUUCAAUAGCAGAUAAAGACUGGGNAACAACAUCAUGUACGCCCCUCACCACAAUGACAUCAUUCCUGGUGCUAAA